Molecule: long non-coding RNA, 538 nt
Filed under: Trifolium pratense (red clover)
Lineage: Eukaryota; Viridiplantae; Streptophyta; Magnoliopsida; Fabales; Fabaceae
Description: long non-coding RNA (TPRA_LNC010352)
Source: RNAcentral
UUUUUCAUAGAGUUUAGAGUUAAGAAAAAUCAUGAGAAAAACUAGUGAAAUAAAGAGAAAGAAUGAUAUACCUCAAGAAGGAAGUAAGCUAGCAAAGAACUAAUGGAAAGCAAGCUUGAUCUUCAAUGAAAAUGGUGGAAAGGAAAAAUUUAUGAAGAUGGGGUUUAAGAGAGGAGAAGCCACGGCAAAGAGAAGAAGAAAGGAGAAAGAAAUGUGAUCCUUUGAUUUUGGCUAAGUACAAAAAGCAAUGUGACUUUCCUUCACAAGUAAAGCCUAGGCAUUCCCUAGCUAUUGGAUCAAAAGCACUUUCUCUAGAUCAAAUCCUAGCCCUUGGAUCAAAUACUUGGCCAACUGGCAAUCUAAAAUAAAUAUCUAGAUAUUUUCCUUCUCACGCCCCACAGCUCUCGCGCGCCGCGACGAGCAAAACUCGUAAAAACAGAAAACUUACGGAACGGAAGUCCGUCUCAAAAUAAUUCCAAAACUUAUCGCCGAAUCUUUUUCCGCGACUGUAAUUUUCCUCCACACUCUCGAAAAUUAU